This 1474-nucleotide ribosomal RNA is filed under the name uncultured Bordetella sp. RNAcentral's name for it is "partial 16S-23S ribosomal RNA intergenic spacer". It matches the Rfam family "Bacterial small subunit ribosomal RNA". Lineage: Bacteria; Pseudomonadati; Pseudomonadota; Betaproteobacteria; Burkholderiales; Alcaligenaceae. The record is from RNAcentral.
GGUUUAUGGAUUCUGGCUCAGAUUGAACGCUGGCGGAUGUGCUUUACACAUGCUGGUCAGAACGGCAGCACGGACUUCGGUCUGGUGGCCAGUGGCGAACGGGUGAGUAAUGUAUCGGAACGUGCCUAGUAGCGGGGGGAUAACUACGCGAAAGCGUAGCUAAUGCCAUACUUUACCUCGGGAAAGCGCGGGGACCUUCGGGCCUCGCACUAUUAGAAGCGGCCGAUAUCGGAUUAGCUAGUUGGUGGGGUAACGGCUCACCAAGGCGACGAUCGUAGCUGGUUGAAGGACGACCAGCCACACUGGGACUGAGACACGGCCCAGACUCCUACGGGAGGCAGCAGUGGGGAAUUUUGGACAAUGGGGAAACCCUGAUCGCCAUCCCGCGUGCGAUGAAGGCAGCUGAGUUAUCAAAACCACUACCGCUGAAAAAGAAACGGCACGGGAUAAUGCCCCGUGCAACUGACGGCUUACCUGCAGAAUAGCACCGGCUAACUACGUGCCAGCAGCCGCGGUAAUACGUAGGGUGCAAGCGUUAAUCGGAAUUACUGGGCGUAAAGCGUGCGCAGGCGGUUCGGAAAGAAAGACUGAAAUCCCAGAGCCUUUGGAACUGCAUUUUUAACUACCGAGCUAGAGUGUGUCAGAGGAGGUGGAAUUCCGCGUGUAUGCCGCGAUCAUGCGUAGAUAUGCGGAGGAACACCGAUGGCGAAGGCAACCUCACAGGAUAAUACUGACGCUCAUGCAGCGUGGGGAGCAAACAGGAUUAGAUACCCUGAUGGUCCACGCCCUAACGAUGUCAACUUCAGCUGUUUGGGGCCUUCCGGGCCUUGGUAGCGCAGCUAACGCGUGAAGUUGACCGCCUGGGGUGAGUCAAAAUUCGGCUCAAAGGAAUUGACGGGGACCCGCACAGAAAGCGGUGGAUGAUGUGGAUUAAUUCGAUGCAACGCGAAAAACCUUACCUACCCUUGACAUGUCUGGAAUCCCGAAGAGAUUUGAGGUGCUCGCAAGAGAACCGUUUACGAUUACUGCAUAGCUGUCGUCAAGCUCAUGUCCGUGAGAUGUUGGGUUAAGUCCGCAACGAGCGCAACCCUUGUCAUUAGUUGCUGAAAGGGCACUCUAAUGAGACUGCCGGUGACAAACCGGAGGGAAGGUGGGGGAUGACGUCAAGUCCUCAUGGCCCUUAUGGGUAGGGCUUCACACGUCGCUACAAUGGUCGGGACAGGGUCACCAACCCGCGAGGGGGAGCCAAUCCAGAAACCCGAUCGUAGUCCGGAUCAUGAUCUGCAACUCGACUCGUGGCGAAGUCGAAAUCUGUCGGCUAAUCGCGGAUCGGCAUGUCGCGGUGAAUACACGUUCCCGGGUCUUGUACACACCGCCCGUCACACCAUGGGAGUGGGUUUACCAGAAAGUAGUUAGCCUAACCGUAAGGAGGGCGAUUACGGUAGGAUUCAUGACUGGGGUGGUAGCUGGGUAA